CUUAGAUAACUGCCCUGCCCUAUGAUGUCACAGCAGGUCUGUGUGAAGGCCCAGUUUGGGAGGUGCAGCUUGGCCAGGGUACUUUAGGCAGUGGAUGUUUUGGGGGCACAGAGAAAGCAGAAAGGUCUGCAUCAAGAGACAACACAAGAGGUGAAAGAGGGACAAGCAAGGGGGAAAUAUUGUCUCUGGGCAAGUCAUUGCUGAAUAUCAAGGUCCUGCGGGUGUGCAGACUCUUGUGCACUGAGCUUAAGGGCUCCAGAUCAAGACUUUCAUCUCCUCGUCUCCUUAUCUCCAAGUUUCCUCUCCGUCCUCCUGAUUGUGACCCCUGUCCUAUCUGUGAAAGAUGGAAAGGUCAACACAGGAGCUCUUUCUGAACUUUAUGAUCGUCCUGAUCACGGUGCUGCUCAUGUGGCUGCUUGUCAAGAGCUACCAGGACGCCUGAGCCAGAAUUGAAAUGAGCGUCUGGCAGGCUCAGUGCUUCACCUGGUUUGUGAUGUUGAAGCUGGAAAGAGAGCAUACAGUGCAGCCUGACCAGCAGAUGGCAGUGUUUGAGUUGGAAACAAGAAAGAGAAGGCCUUUUUCUGACCUCUCAAGAAAUGAAGAGAUGGGCCUUGAAAUGUAGUGGCUGAGUUCUGUAAAAUAGAGAUUAAUUACAUGGAUCUUAGCUUCAUUUUCUUAAGCUUUGGUAUACUUGUUUACAGCUUAGGCACCUCUAACAGUGGCCAUUUUCACAGCUCCAAUUGAUUGACAUGUCAACGUGUGUGCUGAAGCAUAAGUGAAAUAAAAUGAAAGAGAGAAAUGAAGCCGUGUGUGAGCGUCUGGAUGACUGAAACACUGAAAUGUUAGCAUGGCUAAUAAUGAGGGCUAGUAAACCAUGAAUGGAAGCCAAUAGGAGUUACUCAGCAAGAUGCCUGGCUUUCUGUUGUUAGCCAAAAACAAUGGGUUCACAUUUACUCAGUGUACCAUUCACUGCACCGUUCAUUGCAUACAUGCUAUCAAAAGCAAAUUACUGAAUACCACUGCAACAUUUAGACAGAC
Molecule: long non-coding RNA, 1038 nt
Organism: Pygocentrus nattereri (red-bellied piranha)
Lineage: Eukaryota; Metazoa; Chordata; Actinopteri; Characiformes; Serrasalmidae
Source: Ensembl